UUCACUUUCCGACUGUGAAUGAUGUUAUUUUGAAAGAAUUUACAGACACAACAUGUCCAAAGCUUUGGCUUCUGCUGAGAUUUGAAAAAUACGGACGGAGAAAAGUGCAAAAUUGCAUCGGAUUUCCUUUCCAAUGUCGCCCGUAUUGAAUUGUAUACAGCGACAACCAGUGCAAAUGUAUUGAUAACAACGCCGUUUCAUGCACGUUUUCACCGACAAUGUUAUCAGAAGUUUACGGACAAAAGGAAGCUGGAACAAGCACAGAGAAAACGUAAAAUACCUCAAGAUUCUGAAAAUACUGAAUUUGAAGAACCAUCUGAUAUCCCUCCACAACCUAAGACGCCGUGUAGGGAUCUACGAUCUCGGUGCUCAUCUGCCAGCUUUAGACGAUCAGAACAUGUGCUUCCAUCUGAGUGUAUCAUAUGCCAAAAAGUAAUUAAAGAUCUGUACAAGCACGGAAAGAGGGCCAAAGAAACUCUGACUUCAUGCCAGUAUAUUGACGGUGGCAAAUUACUACAACAAGCAAUCAAUGAACAGAACACUAGGAUUCUCAUUAAUUGAAAGUACUGGUACAGGAGUGUAGACCCCUAAUGUUGUAGUUGGUUUCACCACUAAUUACAUGUCAUUCCCUUGCUAAUCCUUGCAUUGAGUUUCGACGUAAUGUAAAUGCGUAUUUGUAAUGCACGCACAUCUUCACAUACGCAACGUAAUGAGCAAGCAAGUAAAAGCCAGGUGCUGAUUCACUUUACGUCCAAACUACAAGCAAGAAGCAUUUAGCAGUCUAAACCAAGUUAUAAUAUUUGUGAAACCUAAUUUAAUUGAAUUCACAAUUGUGGAGGCAACCCAGGAAGGCAAUUGGCAGGAGGAAGAGCUGCAAACUCUAAUGUGCGAGGUGGAGGCAAUUAUCAAUAGCCGUCCACUCACGCAGUCUUCAGAUGACCCUGACGACUUAGGGGUCAUUACUCCGAAUGAUCUGCUGUUGAUGAAAGCAGGUGAUCUUCCUCCUGGGAAAUUCAGCCCAAUCAAGACUGAGCCUUGAGAUUUUGUGAUAAUUGAUGUGUGUGAGAUUGUGUGAUAAUUGUUGUGAGAUUGUGAGAUUGUGUGAUAAUUGUUGUGCAAAGCAUUUUUUAUGUGCAUUCAAUUGAAGAGGUGUUAAUGUUAUUAAUAUGUUUAGUCACUUAUUCUAAUGAUAUUGAGAACACUUCAUAGUGAUCAUUGUUUAGAAUUAGUAAUAUCGCAAAGGUUUGUCGAUAUUUAUUUAUGAAUUAAUAUUGAUAGUAUUAGUGAUGCCCUUUGAUAUUUGUGUGUCAAAUGUAGACAUCACUCUGGAUAACGAAUAAGUAAUCGUUUAAAUAUUAGUUGUUAGCAUAAAUAAUUAAAUAUCAUAAAUUAUCAGAGAAUAAGGACUUUUUUGUACCGGGUGGUUAAAUAUUGAGUUUAGUAAGAUUUAAUGAUGCAAGUUAGCAUAGUGCGUAUGAUUGAAACAGCAAUUGGUUGUACAAUAAAUGUGGUUAAGAGCUA
Molecule: long non-coding RNA, 1521 nt
Organism: Priapulus caudatus
Lineage: Eukaryota; Metazoa; Priapulida; Priapulimorpha; Priapulimorphida; Priapulidae
Exons: 2
Source: RefSeq, a predicted model, not a curated record